AUUAGGGGAGCCCACGGCUACAAAAACAAGUGAGUGAGAAGAGGUGGGAGGAAGAGAAACUACGCCACCUCCCCUGCAGCCGAGUGCACGCAGCAGCCUGGCGUGACAAGUGGGCGACGCCGGGGGGCAGGGAGCCGGGGUCCUUGGCCCUGGCCGGGGACCCCACCGCCCACCGCGCGGAGGACAACUUUUAGCCGGCAGCCCAGACCAGCGCGGCACCUGUCUCCGGAGUCUCCACCGCUCCUCCCGAUUCAUCCCAGGGAAAUUCUCAAGAAUACGCUCUACAAAUCUACGUGCGCAUCAUUUUCACCUCGCGUCGCGCCCGGGAGGAAGGAACGAGGCAAGGAGCUAAAGCAGCGUGCGUUCAGCCCUGGGGCAUUUUAUUAAUGCUUUUACGAGUUAGAAGAGUUGGGAUAAUUUGCCAUCUGGAGUUUCUCUGCCUUGCUGAUCUGAGCUCAGACCUGCCAAUUUACCAGAGAUAAUUGAUAACACCCUGUAACAGCUGAGAGCAUGCAAAUAUUGAAAAACCCUGAUGCUGACUUUGAGAAAUCAUGCAGAAUAGGGGCCGAAUGCAAGAAAAAUCAUCUUUGUCCAAAUUUUAAAUAAAGAGGAAAAUGGAAGAAACGGAGAUACUUUUAGUGAAGCAGAAUAAACCACUGAACAGGAAAAAUGAGGAAGCUGUGAGUACCAGUGGAAGGAACGAGCCAGGAAGAGGGACUGGAACCAUCUCAGAAGCCAUGCCCCUCAGGCUGGAACUUGCCCUGUCUCCUCGCAGAUGAGUCUCUUCUUUCCGCCAGCUACCUCUUGUGUUUAAGAAUUAAAGGAAGAUGAGCUAGGAAUCAAGAAAUACGCAGAACUGAUUCCUGUCACUGGCGCCACCCUGCCACUUGCCCAGAGCUGUGGUAUAAAUUUUUUUAAUAGGCUGAAAUAAAAAUAUGAAUAGCAUUUUGGUAUUAAGCAUUAAAUUGAUAAAGGCUAUGAGAUACACCUGCUCUCAACCAUGUUAAUUUUUUAUUAUUGGUAUUAAUAAAUUAUUACUUACUAACAUAUUAACAAGAAUUGCAUUGAGAAACAAAGCAUCCACAGGCCAAAUCUUCUGAAUUUCAAAUGUUUAUAUUAAUGCGUUGUAUUCUAGAAAAGUAGAAUUGUCUUAAGUAGCUUUGUAAUAUAAAGUCAUCUAUCAGCCCAUUACACCUAUUAGAAUGUUUUAACCUUUAUUUCCCACUUUUUUGUUUCUAGACUGAGUGUACUUGGUCUGGUAUUUGUGGCAUAACUUACGGAACACAUAAGAAUGAUACAGAUACUAUUUAAUGAUGACCUAAUACAAGCUUAGAUAGCUAAGGUGAAAGCUUCUAUGGCCUUAACAUUUUCCUCUUGAAGAAUGUAUUUUCUGUAAUAAAAUACAGUGGCUACUUGAAAUCUA
This 1423-nucleotide long non-coding RNA is filed under the name Homo sapiens (human). Its description in RNAcentral is "long intergenic non-protein coding RNA, p53 induced transcript". The record is from RNAcentral. Lineage: Eukaryota; Metazoa; Chordata; Mammalia; Primates; Hominidae.